AACAGAGGGUGCAAACGUUGUUCGGAUUUACUGGGCGUAAAGCGCGUGUAGGCGGCUUGGCAAGUCGGAUGUGAAAGCCCACGGCUCAACCGUGGAAGCGCAUCCGAAACGGCCUCGCUUGAGUCUCGGAGAGGAAGGUGGAAUGCUUGGUGUAGAGGUGAAAUUCGUAGAUAUCAAGCAGAACACCUGCGGCGAAGGCGGCCUUCUGGACGAUGACUGACGCUGAGACGCGAAAGCGUGGGGAGCAAACAGG
RNAcentral lists this ribosomal RNA (253 nucleotides) under uncultured bacterium. Its description in RNAcentral is "partial 16S ribosomal RNA". It matches the Rfam family "Bacterial small subunit ribosomal RNA", at positions 524 to 776 of the family's 1533-position model. The record is from RNAcentral.